This 249-nucleotide ribosomal RNA is filed under the name uncultured bacterium. RNAcentral describes it as "partial 16S ribosomal RNA". It matches the Rfam family "Bacterial small subunit ribosomal RNA", at positions 84 to 334 of the family's 1533-position model. The record is from RNAcentral.
UUUGAUGGCGACCGGCGCACGGGUGAGUAACACGUAUCCAACCUGCCGAUGACUCGGGGAUAGCCUUUCGAAAGAAAGAUUAAUACCCGAUGGCAUAGUUCUUCCGCAUGGUAGAACUAUUAAAGAAUUUCGGUCAUCGAUGGGGAUGCGUUCCAUUAGGUUGUUGGCGGGGUAACGGCCCACCAAGCCUUUGAUGGAUAGGGGUUCUGAGAGGAAGGUCCCCCACAUUGGAACUGAGACACGGUCCAA